GCUUCACCUUCUUUCCUCUCAUGAUCUGAUUCUCAUUAUGAGUAAGGGCUUCAUCUCACUUCAUUCUUAUAUGACUGCAAGAUUUUCACUGUAGAUCACAAGCUCAAAUAAUGCAAUGAAAUAUUUGCUGCCUGGAAAAGCCCUUCCAAAUUUGAACACAAAAGUGAUCAGAGUACCAACUGAAACCUCAAAAUAAAGGUGCAAGAGUUCAUCAGGCAAAUUGGGAAGACAGAAUGACACGGGCAAAACAGAAGCCUACAAACAAAGGAGAAUGAGAAGAAUUUACAAUGAAAGAGAAGGGGGAAAGUACAAAAGGAAUAAAACUUGUUAUUACCAAAAAAAAAAAAAGUAAUGUGUAAAAUCUGCACUCCUUGUGCCCAAGGAUGCAUUUUUUCUCCAAGUGCCUCUUAGCUUGUGGUUUAAAUCAAUAAGAAAUGAGAUUUCCAGACUUUCCAUUUCCUUUCAUGUUGUCCAGUUAUUACAUCCUGCAGAGAUGAAAAAGAUUACUACUGUUGAGAAAGGGUAAAGAGAAUUCAGACUGGAAGCAUCUCUCUACAGCUGAACCUGACCCAACGUGUCCACCAUCUCA
Molecule: long non-coding RNA, 589 nt
Organism: Grus americana (Whooping crane)
Lineage: Eukaryota; Metazoa; Chordata; Aves; Gruiformes; Gruidae
Exons: 3
Source: RefSeq, a predicted model, not a curated record